AUUGGUCCAAAGAGAUCAUUUGUAAUUCUUUGCUAUUAAUUAUAGUAAAUUCUUUAUCUCUUCCCAUGGCUUUUCUGGAUUCGAGUUUCCUCGUAAAUCUUGUUUUCUUUAUGAUCCAUUAUUUUCAUAUUGCUCAUAUCAUUCUCGUGAUCGAGUUAUUCAUGGUAAUUCGAACAAUAAUAUUGGAAAAUCUUCCAAUAGCUUGGGUGGAGCUAGUUGUAAUCUUAUUGAUUAUGUUGCUCAUGGUGAUUUGAUCAUUUUUGACAAUUCAAGUGGAGUUGGAAGUGCUCAUGGUGAUUUGAGCAGUUUUGGUGGUUCGACUGGAGCUAGAAGUGAACUAGAUGAUUUAAGUAAGGUUGGGGCGCAAGUUAAUUAUGCUUGUAAGCAGGGCUUAGAAUUUGUUUUCAUAGUUGUUGAAUGUGUUUAGAGGGGCAUGUUGGAAG
This 443-nucleotide long non-coding RNA is filed under the name Olea europaea subsp. europaea. Lineage: Eukaryota; Viridiplantae; Streptophyta; Magnoliopsida; Lamiales; Oleaceae. The record is from RNAcentral.